UCCGGUGACGAUAGCGAAGUGGAACCACCUGAACUCAUACCGAACUCAGAAGUUAAGCACUUCAGCGGCGACAAUAGUUGGGCCUGCCCCUGCCAAGAUAGCACGUUGCCGGGU
RNAcentral lists this ribosomal RNA (114 nucleotides) under Faecalicoccus pleomorphus. The record is from RNAcentral. Lineage: Bacteria; Bacillati; Bacillota; Erysipelotrichia; Erysipelotrichales; Erysipelotrichaceae. RNAcentral also lists the same sequence under 6 other names.